This 873-nucleotide ribosomal RNA is filed under the name Capillariinae gen. sp. FJ-2017. RNAcentral describes it as "bacterial SSU rRNA". It matches the Rfam family "Eukaryotic small subunit ribosomal RNA", at positions 153 to 1002 of the family's 1831-position model. Lineage: Eukaryota; Metazoa; Nematoda; Enoplea; Trichinellida; Capillariidae. The record is from RNAcentral.
AAAUGCUAGAGCUAAUACACGCUACGAUGCUUUGGAGAUUACUAUGUGCAAAGCGCGUUUAUUGGUGCAAUCUGUCGGCAUUGUCUUUAUGGCAAUUUGUCCGAUCAGUUGUUGAAACGGAGUAACUAUGCUGAUCGCACGGUCUUAGUACCGGCGACGAAUCUUUGAAAUGACUUGCUCAUCAACUGUCGAUGGUAGGUUACGUGCCUACCAUGGUGACAACGGUUAACGGAGAAUCAGGGUUCGAUUCCGGAGAAGGAGCCUGAGAGACGGCUACUACAUCCAAGGAAGGCAGCAGGCGCGCAAAUUACCCACUCCCAGAACGGGGAGGUAGUGACGAUAAAUAACGGAACGUAUCUCGAUGAGACGCGUUACCGGAACGAUUGAGCCGUAUAUGAGCUCGACUAAAGCUAUUGGAGGGCAAGUCUGGUGCCAGCAGCCGCGGUAAUUCCAGCUCCAAUAGCGUAUAUUAAAGCUGCUGCGGUUGAACCGCUCGUAGUUGGAUUGCGAUUUUCGGCCACGGUCCUCGAAGUCAAGAGGAUUGGCUCUGCCGCCGUUGGUCAUGAUCGGUAUUGUCAUACUUGUCUUUGAUGCUCUUCACCGAGUGUCAUGGGUGAGAUGGACGUUUACUUUGAGAAAAUAAGAGCGCUCAAAGCAGGCUGCUUAUAGCUUGAACGGAAUUUCAUGGGAUAGUGAAAAAUGAUCUCGCUGGUAUUGAAAAGUAACCACGAGGUAAUGAUUAAAAGAGACAGACGGUGGCAUUCGUACUGCUGCGUUAGAGGUGAAAUUCUUGGAUCGCAGCAAGACGAACAAUUGCGAAAGCAUUUGCCAAGAAUGUUUUCAUUAAUCAAGAACGAAAGUUGGAGGAUCGAA